RNAcentral lists this ribosomal RNA (785 nucleotides) under human gut metagenome. Its description in RNAcentral is "bacterial SSU rRNA". It matches the Rfam family "Bacterial small subunit ribosomal RNA", at positions 612 to 1396 of the family's 1533-position model. The record is from RNAcentral.
ACCCCUGGAUUGCACAUGAUACUGCGAGACUAGAGUAAUGGAGGGGGAACCGGAAUUCUCGGUGUAGCAGUGAAAUGCGUAGAUAUCGAGAGGAACACUCGUGGCGAAGGCGGGUUCCUGGACAUUAACUGACGCUGAGGCACGAAGGCCAGGGGAGCGAAAGGGAUUAGAUACCCCUGUAGUCCUGGCAGUAAACGGUGCACGCUUGGUGUGCGGGGAAUCGACCCCCUGCGUGCCGGAGCUAACGCGUUAAGCGUGCCGCCUGGGGAGUACGGUCGCAAGAUUAAAACUCAAAGAAAUUGACGGGGACCCGCACAAGCGGUGGAGUAUGUGGCUUAAUUCGAUGCAACGCGAAGAACCUUACCUGGGCUUGACAUGUAAUGAACAACAUGUGAAAGCAUGCGACUCUUCGGAGGCGUUACACAGGUGCUGCAUGGCCGUCGUCAGCUCGUGUCGUGAGAUGUUUGGUUAAGUCCAGCAACGAGCGCAACCCCUGUUGCCAGUUACCAUCGAGUAAUGUCGGGGACUCUGGCGAGACUGCCCAGAUCAACUGGGAGGAAGGUGGGGACGACGUCAGGUCAGUAUGGCCCUUAUGCCCAGGGCUGCACACGUACUACAAUGCCCAGUACAGAGGGGGCCGAAGCCGCGAGGCGGAGGAAAUCCUGAAAACUGGGCCCAGUUCGGACUGUAGGCUGCAACCCGCCUACACGAAGCCGGAAUCGCUAGUAAUGGCGCAUCAGCCACGGCGCGGUGAAUACGUUCCCGGGCCUUGUACACACCGCCCG